GCCCUGUCCUGCAGGAUCACCUUCAUGGCGAACCGGGUCAGGGUCGGAAAGUUUGGUACGCUUUGCGUCUCCUUCCCGAAAGACAGCAGCCCUAAGUCAUGUUGGUGGUGCUUGCGGGGUUGCAGGGUGGA
This 131-nucleotide signal recognition particle RNA is filed under the name Chloroflexota bacterium. RNAcentral's name for it is "Chloroflexi bacterium signal recognition particle sRNA small type". It matches the Rfam family "Bacterial small signal recognition particle RNA". Rfam says of the family: The signal recognition particle (SRP) is a universally conserved ribonucleoprotein involved in the co-translational targeting of proteins to membranes. Archaeal SRP consists of a 7S RNA and homologues of the eukaryotic SRP19 and SRP54 proteins. The record is from RNAcentral. Lineage: Bacteria; Bacillati; Chloroflexota.